Molecule: long non-coding RNA, 511 nt
Organism: Anolis carolinensis (green anole)
Lineage: Eukaryota; Metazoa; Chordata; Lepidosauria; Squamata; Anolidae
Exons: 2
Source: RefSeq, a predicted model, not a curated record
GACAGGCCUCCUUUGCAGCUGGGCAGCAUCACUGCACCAGGAGGUGUUUCUAAUGGAGGAGAAUGGAGAUCCAACCCAUGGAAGCAGCCUGGAGUUCGUGUUACCUGUGGAUCUUCAACUUAGACUGGCUUCUCAUGAGUGUGGCUUUCUCCCUCCCUGGAUUGUGGACUGGCUUGACGAUGACUCCGUUUGACGGACUUGGAAACUACGUAUCCUUUUGGCUUCUUCAGCGAUGACUCUGGGAUUACGGUUGGCUUUGGCAAACUCCUUCUUGCAGUUAACUCUGGAAACAUCGCUCUCUGGUGGAACUAUUGUGUACAGCGCUGUUUGUUUGCUGGUUACUUUGACUACUGUUUAAUCUGGUUUUUCCUCCUGUUUAAUUCGGAUUAUUUUCUGUUUGCCUUUUGGAGCCCAGUUUGGGUAAAUUCUUUGAGUUUUGGCCAGAGACACUGAAGUUAAGUGUCUCUGAGCUUUUAUUUGUUUUUUGCAAUAAACCUUUUGUUGGACUAAA